This is a non-coding RNA of Ictidomys tridecemlineatus (thirteen-lined ground squirrel), 1005 nucleotides long. NCBI's taxonomy places the organism in Eukaryota, Metazoa, Chordata, Mammalia, Rodentia, Sciuridae. The record is from RefSeq and is a predicted model, not a curated record.
UGCCGCCGGAUGCCAAUCUGUCACAAGUGCACAACAGACUGAGUCCAAGAACAAUUGAGUUGACUGCGCACAUGUACUAUCGCCGAGUCCCCCGGAGGGCAUCUGAAACAGGAAGCAAGAUGUCUGUUACUAUGCAAAGCCCUGCGCUUCCUGGAUCAGAAAUCUGUUCCUGUUCUGCAUCUCUGCCUGUACCUCCCUUCGCUCUGCUCUGCGGAGAAGAGGAAAGCACUCCAGGCUGGAGCAUGGCGGAGCUGCAGAUUUUACAGCUUUUGAAAACCUGUCUCCACUGAAGCAGGAGAAUGAGGGCCUACUCUCCGCUGCAGGUUGCAACACUCACAAGACAGACAGCCGCACAGGCCCGUCUACCAGCGGAAGUCCUACAGAAACUGCGGUGUCACGGGCAUCUCCAUGGUCUCUCUGAUCAUUUAAAAAUCACAUCUGGUGUUGUCAACAUGAAGACCGUCCCGUGACAAUGGCUUUCACAAGGACCUCUAGUAGCAGUCUCUGCCGGCUGGACAGCAAACCUUCUCCAUGUCCAUGGGCCUUCGUGGGGCUCCAGGCCUGUUGUGCGAGGCUCUGCUCAGCUUUCCCGGGGCCUCUCCUGCCCUCCCUGCGCUUCCUCGGGUGCAGCCACCGUCAGCUCCUCCCAGCUGUCACAUUCAGCGUCCUGGUUCCUCUUGGAGCACCUCCUGGCCUCUGCAGGCUUCUCACCUCUCACUGUGAAGCUGAGCACGCCUCCUGGGCCAGUUUCCCUCAGUUACCCCAGGGGACACACCUGGUGCUCUUAGCUCUGGGUGAGUCCAGAGAGACAAUGCAGGUCAAGCCUUGCAGUGCCCAGCAUCCUGGAUUUAAUCAACGUUGGCUGCUUUCAUUAAUAAUUGGAGUCUCAGUUUUGAUGAACAUCGUUUGAGCUCACCGUCAUGGUUUGCCUGGUGAUCUACUGUAGCACUUUAUCUAGACGGCUACAAAUUUCAUGUUUCCAAUAAAAAAGGGAAUUAGGACAAA